This is a long non-coding RNA of Cotesia glomerata, 547 nucleotides long. RefSeq lists it as uncharacterized. Lineage: Eukaryota; Metazoa; Arthropoda; Insecta; Hymenoptera; Braconidae. The record is from RefSeq and is a predicted model, not a curated record. The transcript is spliced from 3 exons.
UGACUCGCCACUCGAAUGUCCUGGCAAGGACUCUGGAUAAAAAACCACCAUUUUAUAAACACCAUUACAAACACCGCAACACCUAACGAUCCAGUGUGAUGAAUCACAAAACAAAUCUUCGACACAAACAAUCUAAUCCCGAGUGACCUCUUGAAGAAAAACGGCAAGCACAAGUGACAGCUUAUAAUAAUGUAGAGUAAAUAAACAGAAGUAAAGGAGGAAUUUGAAAUAACAAAAAAAGAUAAAUAAGUACUACGUCGUUUUUGUUAUUUUUUAAAUGCAAUUCGCUCUUUAUUCAAACGCACACAAUAACUUUUGUUCAGUGGAGUAUUUUUUGUUUUUGUUGCAUUCCAUCGUAGCUUUUUUUUUUGCCUCCAUUUAUGCUUUUUUAUUUAUCUUAAAAAUUUAUCGAUCGCAGGCUUUAUUAAGCUCAUUCUUGUGAUUCAAUCGCACAGUAAUUUAUUUUAUGUUCAUUUAUUGCCGAAUCGAUACGAGUUUAUUAUUAAUAAUAAUAAUAAUUUUCAGUUUUAUUUCUUGUAAAUUAAUU